CGUAGAAGACUAGUGUUAUUCAUCUUUAAUAGGUUUAAAGGGUACCUAGACGGUAUAAUUAGUCUACAAUAAGAUACGGUUAUACUAGAGUUAUAUAUGAGGAGGUGAGUAUUUAUGGAGUAGAGUUAAAAUUUUUGAUACCAUGACGACUGAUAGCGGCGAAAGCAACCUCUUAUCUAAUAACUGACGUUGAGGGACGAAGGCUCGGGUAACCAACAGGAUU
Molecule: ribosomal RNA, 223 nt
Filed under: uncultured bacterium
Lineage: Bacteria
Description: partial 16S ribosomal RNA
Rfam family: Bacterial small subunit ribosomal RNA
Source: RNAcentral